RNAcentral lists this ribosomal RNA (254 nucleotides) under uncultured bacterium. Its description in RNAcentral is "partial 16S ribosomal RNA". It matches the Rfam family "Bacterial small subunit ribosomal RNA", at positions 524 to 776 of the family's 1533-position model. The record is from RNAcentral.
GACGAACCGUGCGAACGUUAUUCGGAAUUACUGGGCUUAAAGCGCGUGUAGGCGGGCCGGCACGUCGAGCGUUGAAAUCCCCCGGCUCAACCGGGGAAGGGGCCUCGAUACGACCGGCCUGGAGGGGGGUAGGGGGAUCGAGAACUUCCGGUGGAGCGGUGAAAUGCGUUGAGAUCGGAAGGAACGCCCGCGGCGAAAGCGCGGUCCUGGACCCCACCUGACGCUGAGACGCGAAAGCCAGGGGAGCGAACGGG